GAUGAAGAACGCAGCGAAAUGCGAUAAGUAGUGUGAAUUGCAGAAUUCAGUGAAUCAUCGAAUCUUUGAACGCACAUUGCGCCCGCCAGUAUUCUGGCGGGCAUGCCUGUCCGAGCGUCAUUUCAACCCUCGAACCCCUCCGGGGGGUCGGCGUUGGGGAUCGGCCCUGCCUCUUGGCGGUGGCCGUCUCCGAAAUACAGUGGCGGUCUCGCCGCAGCCUCUCCUGCGCAGUAGUUUGCACACUCGCAUCGGGAGCGCGGCGCGACCACAGCCGUUAAACACCCAACUUCUGAAAUGUUGACCUCGGAUCAGGUAGGAAUACCCGCUGAACUUAAGCAUAUCAAUAAGCGGAGGA
This 355-nucleotide unclassified non-coding RNA is filed under the name soil metagenome. RNAcentral describes it as "partial contains 5.8S ribosomal RNA, internal transcribed spacer 2, and large subunit ribosomal RNA". The stretch from base 1 to 120 matches the Rfam family "5.8S ribosomal RNA", at positions 35 to 154 of the family's 154-position model. The record is from RNAcentral.